ACGAACGCUGGCGGCGUGCUUAACACAUGCAAGUCGAACGGAAAGGCCCUGCUUUUGUGGGGUGCUCGCGUGGCGAACGGGUGAGUAACACGUGAGUAACCUGCCCUUGACGUUGGGAUAACUUCAGGAAACUGGGGCUAAUACCGGAUAGGAGCUCCUGCUGCAUGGUGGGGGUUGGAAAGUUUCGGCGGUUGGGGAUGGACUCGCGGCUUAUCAGCUUGUUGGUGGGGUAGUGGCUUACCAAGGCUUUGACGGGUAGCCGGCCUGAGAGGGUGACCGGCCACAUUGGGACUGAGAUACGGCCCAGACUCCUACGGGAGGCAGCAGUGGGGAAUAUUGCACAAUGGGCGGAAGCCUGAUGCAGCAACGCCGCGUGCGGGAUGACGGCCUUCGGGUUGUAAACCGCUUUCGCCUGUGACGAAGCGUGAGUGACGGUAAUGGGUAAAGAAGCACCGGCUAACUACGUG
RNAcentral lists this ribosomal RNA (467 nucleotides) under uncultured bacterium. RNAcentral's name for it is "partial 16S ribosomal RNA". It matches the Rfam family "Bacterial small subunit ribosomal RNA", at positions 29 to 507 of the family's 1533-position model. The record is from RNAcentral.